This is a long non-coding RNA of Diabrotica virgifera virgifera (western corn rootworm), 377 nucleotides long. RefSeq lists it as uncharacterized. Lineage: Eukaryota; Metazoa; Arthropoda; Insecta; Coleoptera; Chrysomelidae. The transcript is spliced from 2 exons. The record is from RefSeq and is a predicted model, not a curated record.
CAAGAUGUGAACAAGUUAAAUUUAGCUGAAUGGUACCUCGAGCGUGAAACAUUGGAUAUUUUAUACAUUGGACAUUCUAUACAAUUUUAAAGGGUUUUUACGCAAAUAUUUUUUCUUUGGUGGUUAGCAUGUUUGAUUCAAAGGCGGAUUUAAGGCAGUGGAGGCCCCUGGGCUGAAUUGGUGUGGGGCCCUACCUCCUCCCAUUAAAAAAAUGUUGAUCUACUUUCAUAAAUAUAUUUUUAAAUAAUAAAAAAUACAAGAGCUGUUACGUGUUACUGUAAAAUAUUAAAAAAAAAGAAUGUGUGUGUACUUUAUACGCACGUAAGAAGUUUUACUUCUAUUAUAUAAUUUCAACGAAAUAAAUAUACUAAACAGUU